CAGCCGCGGUAAUACAGAGGGUGCAAGCGUUAAUCGGAAUGACUGGGCGUAAAGGGUGCGUAGGUGGCAUAUUAAGUUAGUUGUGAAAUCCCCGGGCUUAACCUGGGAACUGCAAUUGAUACUGGUAAGCUAGAGUUUGGUAGAGGAUAGUGGAAUUUCCGGUGUAGCGGUGAAAUGCGUAGAUAUCGGAAGGAACACCAGUGGCGAAGGCGACUAUCUGGCCCAAAACUGACACUGAGGCACGAAAGCGUGGGUAGCGAACAGGAUUAGAUACCCUGGUAGUCCACGCCGUAAACGAUGAGAACUAGAUGAUGGAUAGGUUAAACCUAUUUGGUAUCGAAGCUAACGCGUUAAGUUCUCCGCCUGGGGAGUACGGUCGCAAGAUUAAAACUCAAAGAAAUUGACGGGGACCCGCACAAGCGGUGGAGCAUGUGGUUUAAUUCGAUGCAACGCGAAGAACCUUACCUACCCUUGACAUGUAUAGAAUUCUUAAGAGAUUAGGAAGUGCCCGCAAGGGAGCUAUAACACAGGUGCUGCAUGGCUGUCGUCAGCUCGUGUCGUGAGAUGUUGGGUUAAGUCCCGUAACGAGCGCAACCCUUGUCCUUAGUUGCCAGCACGUAAAGGUGGGAACUCUAAGGAGACUGCCGGUGAUAAACCGGAGGAAGGUGGGGAUGACGUCAAGUCCUCAUGGCCCUUAUGGGUAGGGCUACACACGUGCUACAAUGGGCGUUACAGAGGGAAGCGAAGCCGUGAGGUGGAGCGAAUCUCAUAAAGGCGUUCGUAGUCCGGAUUGAAGUCUGGAACUCGACUUCAUGAAGUCGGAAUCGCUAGUAAUCGCGGAUCAGCAUGCCGCGGUGAAUACGUUCUCGGGUCU
RNAcentral lists this ribosomal RNA (874 nucleotides) under uncultured Gammaproteobacteria bacterium. RNAcentral's name for it is "bacterial SSU rRNA". It matches the Rfam family "Bacterial small subunit ribosomal RNA", at positions 512 to 1381 of the family's 1533-position model. Lineage: Bacteria; Pseudomonadati; Pseudomonadota; Gammaproteobacteria. The record is from RNAcentral.